AUGGCGGCCGCCGCAUCCACCUCGCCCUCCGGCAGCGGCCGCCGCAACCCGGCGGCGGGAGCGGGCGCUUGCCCCAUCUGCCUCGAAGCCAUCGAAGACGAGGCCUACCUCGACGCCUGCCUGCACUCGUUCUGCUACAGGUGCAUAACGCAGUGGGUGAGCAUCGUGGCGAGCAAGCGGGAAGAACCCUUGUCCACGGCGAGGUGCCCCCUCUGCAAGACCGAGAGCGCGUCCAUCAUCCACGCCUUCGACGGCGAGUCGUUCCAGCAGCAUCACAUCGAGCAGGAGCAGCACCGCCCGGGGAAGAAGAAGACGAGACACCUCUCAGACGCGCACGCGCUCAUAUCACAAAUCUACAACACGAGAGAGGUCUCAGGCGACGAGCCGAGCAUGCAGAAAUACUGGAAGCAGCGGAAGUACCUCCGGAGGAACGUGUGGCUCGAGCCAUGGCUGAGGCGAGAGAUCCAGGCCCUCACGCGGGACGAGGACGUCGACGCCGUGGUCUACCACGUCCACGGCGUCAUCGAGUUUGCCUUGAAACCGCACGCUUCCAAGGAGGCCUCGCCGGAGCGCGCGAGGGAGGAGUUCGUGCGUUCGCUCUCCGACGCCGCGAGGCCGUUCCUCCAUGGACGGACGGCGCGGUUCGUCGCGGAGGCGGAGCUCUUCCUGGCCUCGCAGCUGAACAUCGACGCGUACGGCAGGGCGCGCGCCCGGAGGUUCAGGGAGUCCGCUUCGCAUGUGACGAGGGAGCAGGGUGCGCUGCCGCGGGACCGUCCUCUCGAGGAUCACUACUUCUACUUGUACUUUUUGAGUGACGAGGCAGAUUACGUUGGCGGUGAGAUGUAG
Molecule: ribosomal RNA, 846 nt
Filed under: Triticum aestivum (bread wheat)
Lineage: Eukaryota; Viridiplantae; Streptophyta; Magnoliopsida; Poales; Poaceae
Description: partial small subunit ribosomal RNA
Source: RNAcentral